RNAcentral lists this ribosomal RNA (72 nucleotides) under Acinetobacter haemolyticus. RNAcentral describes it as "partial 23S ribosomal RNA". The record is from RNAcentral. Lineage: Bacteria; Pseudomonadati; Pseudomonadota; Gammaproteobacteria; Moraxellales; Moraxellaceae.
GUUGUAUAGUCAAGUAAUUAAGUGCAUGUGGUGGAUGCCUUGGCAGUCAGAGGCGAUGAAAGACGUGAUAGC